This 279-nucleotide ribosomal RNA is filed under the name uncultured bacterium. Its description in RNAcentral is "partial 16S ribosomal RNA". It matches the Rfam family "Bacterial small subunit ribosomal RNA", at positions 506 to 784 of the family's 1533-position model. The record is from RNAcentral.
UGCCAGCCGCCGCGGUAAUACGUAGGGGGUUAGCGUUGUUCGGAAUUACUGGGCGUAAAGCGUACGUAGGCGGAUCAGAAAGUAGGGGGUGAAAUCCCAGGGCUCAACCCUGGAACUGCCUCCUAAACUCCUGGUCUUGAGUUCGAGAGAGGUGAGUGGAAUUCCAAGUGUAGAGGUGAAAUUCGUAGAUACUCGGAAGAACACCAGUGGCGAAGGCGGCUCACUGGCUCGAUACUGACGCUGUGGCGCGAAAGCGUGGGGAGCAAACAGGAUUAGAUA